Nothoprocta perdicaria is the source of this 465-nucleotide long non-coding RNA. RefSeq lists it as uncharacterized. The record is from RefSeq and is a predicted model, not a curated record. Lineage: Eukaryota; Metazoa; Chordata; Aves; Tinamiformes; Tinamidae. The transcript has 2 exons.
CGCCGAGCUGCGCUCGCCUCGGCACUCGCCCGCGCCGCCCCUGCACUGCGUGUCCCAGGUGGGAUUUUGCACGGCCAGCGAGGGCCGGACGCUCUGCCAGGCACCCSGGUGAGAGCCGCGCGCGGAGCCUGCGCUGCGGCUGCUCUGCUGGGGACAUGAAGCAAGAGACGGCCCUGCCGACGCCUCCCUUGGCACAGGUCGGAUGGACUCCUCGCCUGCGCAGAGCUGCCUGUGUGCCCAGCCUGACUGACACCCCUCUGGGAUCUGGAGCUGGGAUCUGGGAUCCGGAGCUCGCGAGGACGCCAGCGACGCCGGGGAGAGCGGCGCGGAAGGCGUCUGGUUAGAGCCGCCCGCGCGGUCGCCCGCAGAGCUGCACUCGCCCCCGCAGCAGCAGCAGCGCUGCCCCACACACUCGCUGUCCCAGUUUUGUAGGGGUCCUUUUAUUAGUGCUACUGUUGACUUGUG